CGCCUUCCCGCGCUUGUGCUGUCACACACGCCUUCUUGUCACACCUGCGGGGAAGAGGUGGGAUCUCCGAGCAAAGCUUGCCGUCGCCCAAGAAGAGAAGACCUGCCUGUCGCUUGUGGAGCGGAGACGCGAGGGAAUCCCGCAAGAAGCGUGGCUUCGGGUGCGCCCCGUGCCCGUGGGUCGCUGAGGCUGGGAAGGCUCGGCUGCGGUAGAUGACCUGUGCGGUAGACGGCGUCGCGCCCCCGGGAGGUUCGGCCCCCAGUGUUUGUCGUCCUAGCGCCUUGAAGAGACCCACAGGCCCGCGACUGGCCACCGGCCCCGUCUGCUCCGGAUUGCUGAGGCGGACAAUCUCUUUGACCCUGCGCCCCCUCGGGUCCGGCGCUUGCCAGGAGGAGGAAGCGUUUGUGCUCUGUGAGGUCGUCUGUGGUGUUCUGGGGCCGAAGGAGGGGGUCAUAGGU
Molecule: long non-coding RNA, 458 nt
Organism: Equus quagga
Lineage: Eukaryota; Metazoa; Chordata; Mammalia; Perissodactyla; Equidae
Exons: 4
Source: RefSeq, a predicted model, not a curated record